CAGAUGCAUAAAAAAUGAGGAUGGAAAUGCCACAAGAUUCUGUUCAAUCAGCAUCAACACGGGCAAAUCUCAGUGGGAAAAGCCAAAGUUUAAACAAUGCAAAUUGCUUCAAGAACUUCCUGACAAGAUUGUGGAUCUUGCUAAUAUUACCAUAAGUGAUGAUUUUCCUAGGCAAUGUCCCUGUGGGAGGGAUUUUGGCUUCCAUAUAUUUGCCUAAAUCACUGACGGAGAGAAUUCCUCUUAGCAACUUACAAACGAUCUUGUUUAAUUUCUUUGGCCAAACUUCACUCUUUAAGACCAAAAAUGUCACUAAAGCAUUAACCACCUAUGUUGUGAGUGCCAGCAUUUCAGAUGAUAUGUUCA
Molecule: long non-coding RNA, 363 nt
Filed under: Homo sapiens (human)
Lineage: Eukaryota; Metazoa; Chordata; Mammalia; Primates; Hominidae
Description: HSALNT0408849
Source: RNAcentral